RNAcentral lists this unclassified non-coding RNA (390 nucleotides) under soil metagenome. Its description in RNAcentral is "partial contains 5.8S ribosomal RNA, internal transcribed spacer 2, and large subunit ribosomal RNA". The stretch from base 1 to 122 matches the Rfam family "5.8S ribosomal RNA", at positions 35 to 154 of the family's 154-position model. The record is from RNAcentral.
GAUGAAGAACGUAGCGAAAUGCGAUACUUGGUGUGAAUUGCAGAAUCCCGUGAACCAUCGAGUUUUUGAACGCAAGUUGCGCCCGAAGCCAUUCGGCCGAGGGCACGUCUGCCUGGGUGUCACGCAUCGUUGCCCCCCCAAACUCCGGUUCGGGCGGGGCGGAAGUUGGCCUCCCGUGUGUGCCUGCGCGCGCGGUUAGCCCAAAAGCGAGUCCUCGGCGACGAGCGCCACGACAAUCGGUGGUUUUUUUACCCUCGUUCCUCGUCGUGCGUGUCCCGUCGCCCGAACGCGCUCUUGUGACCCUCACGCGUCGCCUCGGCGGCGCUCCCAACGCGACCCCAGGUCAGGCGGGACUACCCGCUGAGUUUAAGCAUAUCAAUAAGCGGAGGA